GAUGUACUCCCUCCGUCUGGAAAUACUUGUUAUUAAAAUAGAUGAAAAUGAAUGUAUCUACAACUAAAAUACAUUUAGAUACAUCCAUUUUAAUGACAAGUAUUUUCGGACGGAGGGAGUAUGAU
Molecule: non-coding RNA, 125 nt
Organism: Triticum aestivum (bread wheat)
Lineage: Eukaryota; Viridiplantae; Streptophyta; Magnoliopsida; Poales; Poaceae
Source: Rfam